AUGGCGCGUUUGCAGAGCUUCGCCGCCCUCGCCGCGGCGGCGGCGGCCGCCGUCCUCGCAGGCCUGCUCUACAGACGCAGGUGCGACCGCUUGAGCGCGCGGGUGCGGGAGCUAGAGGACUCCCUGGCCGACGCCGUGGAGAAGGCCGCCGCAGAGCGCCGCGGCAGGGUUCGGGCUCAGCAGUCACUGCGGAGGGCCCUGAGCGAGCAGGGGACGAGCCCGGAUAAGGGGAAGCCGGCCAAGGCCCCGGCGUCGUACCCGACGGCGCCGAUCGGCACCGUGCAGUCCUGCUUCUCUACUAGGAAUGGUACGCCGAGACAGCCUUUGGUGGUGCCUCUGGCCAGAGCGACAGUGGUGCUUAAUCCUGCCCGUGUUGCGGCCGAAGCGCUAGAGGGACUUGCUAGUUACUCGCAUUGUUGGAUCCUCUAUGUUUUCCAUCUGAACACUGAUCUUGAUAAAAUGUGGAAAGACCCUGCUAGAUCCAAGCUAAAAGUAAAGGUGAGAGUGCCUAGAUUGAAAGGGGGCAAGAUGGGGGUUUUGGUGAAUGGCACACCGAGACAGCCUUUGGUGGUACCUCUGGCCAGAGCGACAGUACUUCUUCACCCUGCCUGUGUCCAAACUGAAGCGCUAGAGGGACUCACUAAUUACUCGCAUUGUUGGAUCCUCUACGUGUUGCAUCUGAACACUGAUCUUAUAAAAUGUGGCAAAGCCCUGCUAGGUCCAAGGGCGAGAGUACCUGGACUGAUGGCAUGA
This 753-nucleotide ribosomal RNA is filed under the name Triticum aestivum (bread wheat). RNAcentral's name for it is "partial small subunit ribosomal RNA". The record is from RNAcentral. Lineage: Eukaryota; Viridiplantae; Streptophyta; Magnoliopsida; Poales; Poaceae.